RNAcentral lists this ribosomal RNA (253 nucleotides) under uncultured bacterium. RNAcentral describes it as "partial 16S ribosomal RNA". It matches the Rfam family "Bacterial small subunit ribosomal RNA", at positions 524 to 776 of the family's 1533-position model. The record is from RNAcentral.
UACGUAGGGUGCAAGCGUUGUCCGGAAUCACUGGGCGUAAAGGGCGCGUAGGCGGCUCAUGAAGGCUGUGGUGAAAGUCCGGGGCUCAACCUCGGAUCGGCCGUGGCGACUCGUGGGCUGGAGCACUGUAGAGGCGGGUGGAAUUCCGGGUGUAGCGGUGGAAUGCGUAGAGAUCCGGAAGAACACCAGUGGCGAAGGCGGCCCGCUGGGCAGUGGCUGACGCUGAGGCGCGACAGCGUGGGGAGCAAACAGG